AAUUGCAAACUUUAUUAAUUUUAUAAUUACUAGGGCCGGCGUCCGCGCUGCGCGCGGAUUACAUGUUUAAUAAAAAUCAGGGGAGAAGUUCGAAACGGUGAUCAUUUUUUUUUAAAAAACAACUGUAAGUAUGAAUAAUAAAUAGUUUUGAGGAAUUCGAUAUUUGAAUGAGAAAAUAAUCUUUGUGUGUGACAAUUUAAUUGAUGUAGGAAGUGGUAACGUAAAUGUUUUAAAAGUU
Brassica napus (rape) is the source of this 238-nucleotide long non-coding RNA. RefSeq lists it as uncharacterized. The record is from RefSeq and is a predicted model, not a curated record. The transcript is spliced from 2 exons. Lineage: Eukaryota; Viridiplantae; Streptophyta; Magnoliopsida; Brassicales; Brassicaceae.